GUUGCGCGCGUUCUCUGGGCGGACUCCUCACCGCAGACGCGGACGGGAGGGUCGGACGCGCGCCCACCUGAGGCCAGUUCGCAGCCUCACCUCGGGGACGGUAUGUAGGUAGCUGGAAAGUCAAGGAGCCCAUCCCUUCGGCCGCCAGCGGGCCACCCUCUCACCCCGUCAGUAAAGUUGGUUUCCCUCAGUUACCUCAGCCUCAGCCGGGACCAGAAAACCGGCCUGGAGUCUUGAAAGGAAAGCCCUGGCGCAUUCCCAAACUUGAAGUACCUCGCAUUCCGGGGCUAGGAAAAGAAAAGGAUUUACCUCGUUUAUCCAGGAGGAUAUUCUCCAUCUGAAAAAUCACAGCACCAGGAUCAGUUCAGCAGCAAAGAGGCGGAUGGAAGCCUCAGUAAAGCAGCCAACAGCAGACCACAAGGAGUACAGAUCUGUGCUACAGUAGCUGCACACUGCAAAGUACCAAAAGUCAAGGCAUUAUCUGAGGGCUACUGUGCCGGGCUCAAGGCAUUAUAGGCCUCCUGCCCAACCUGGUGCCACAUGCUAUAUGUUCCCUCUCCAGGAGAGAAGUGCUGUGAGAAAGGGAACAGAACAAAGGCAGAACAAGCCAAAGGGAUGGGUAAUCUCAGGUGGGGAGAACGGUAGAGGGACCUUGGGAAUGAGUAGAGAGACCACUCACUAAUGAAGAGGUGCCGUUUUCCCUGCCAGCUGUCUCCCAAACCGUGUACAAAAGGAUGGUCAAUCUGUCGCUAGGGACAAAGUAAACAGGAAAUUAGGGAAGAACAGGAUAACUGAAGAUCAAGGCAACCAAGAAGUCAAUGUCUGCCUGGUAAUCCAGGAACCAGCAUAAUAUUAAGAAACACACUGGGACAUGCUGGAGAGAUUUCCCUGGCACCACAGGCUGAGGUGACACCUAAGAUGAGGCUGAGCUCGCCCAGGAGGGGCAGCAAUGCUGGAGGAAGCUGCUGCACCUGCGUAGGGGGAGGCCCCUACCCAGCACAAGGAGGAGGAGGAGGAUUGAGAGGGAGGUAGGGAGGAGAAAGAUUUUACUAUGCAUUUUACUGUAUGCCAACAGAAGUUGGGGAUAAAGGUAACUGUGUCGGCAAAUCUUGGUGACAACACAACAAAUGCUUCUUCAGAAAAAACUAGUCCCUCUAAAGACACCGUGCGGUGUCUCAGAAACCCAUGAUAGCAGUAACAUGGUAAAGAAGAAGGUGGCAUCUGAGCUCCCCCAGGAUGUGCCAGGUACAGCGUACAGUGUGUCAAUGCCUCUAAUGGGGGGAAUGCGUCCCCUUUUGUAGUAAAAGCUGAAUGUCACCUAAAACUUUAAAGUAUAUGUUCAUUCAUCCUGCUUGCUCACAUAAGUGCCAUCCCUGACUGCUAAAUUGUCACCUAACAUUUGUCAAACUCAUCAUAAUCUUCAUUUUAAAGUUUGUUUAGUUGUUUUUGUCUAAUAGACUUAUUUGUGUAUUUUAUCGCCAAACCAUGUUAGCAGAUAUUUUAGUUUUAAGUACUUACAUACUCAGUGCUGAAUGAUUUGACAUUCCAAUUCUGUAUAUGCUAACAGAUUAAUUGUAUGUUUGCAUGUGCUCGUGUAGUUUUUCUUUAACAUUUCAAAUCAUAAUAGAAAACCAUUGUCAUAAAAUUUUUUGCAAGAUAUAUUUGACAUAAAAUUUUAAGUUAAUCAGUAAUUCAUUUUAAGCUUCUUAAAAUAUAAGCAAAACAAUAAACACUGAUGAUUCCACUAAAAAUCAAGAAUUAUAGUUAAUAACCUUGAUGGAAAUCCUAAAUUUUUUUUCUACAUAUUAUAAAAAUAUUACAUAAUCUUUUCUCCUUCCAGUGCCUUUAUUUUAGUUUUUCUGGUAGGAAUGUAGGGAUAUCUUAUUCUGGUUUGAACUUGCAGUUCCCUGGUGACUAAGGAUGUUAAGCACCUUUUCGUGUGUAUGUAUGUGUAUAUAUAUACAUACAUAUAUACAGGUCACUUGGAUGUCUGCUUUUGUGAAGUGCCUGUGAGCUCCUUUCUUCAUUUUCUAGUAAGUGGUUUCUUUUUUGUGGUUGUUUCAUGGGUGAGGGUAAAUCCAGUCCCUCUACUCCAUCUUGACUGGAAGCAUUAAUUCCUACAUUGAUUUCUUUUUAAGUGUUAACCCAAUCUCAUAUUCCUAGAAUAAAUACAACUUGGUUGUGAUCUA
Myotis myotis is the source of this 2189-nucleotide long non-coding RNA. RefSeq lists it as uncharacterized. The record is from RefSeq and is a predicted model, not a curated record. The transcript has 3 exons. NCBI's taxonomy places the organism in Eukaryota, Metazoa, Chordata, Mammalia, Chiroptera, Vespertilionidae.